ACGGGUGAGUAACACGUGGGUAACCUGCCCAUCAGAAGGGGAUAACACUUGGAAACAGGUGCUAAUACCGUAUAACACUAUUUUCCGCAUGGAAGAAAGUUGAAAGGCGCUUUUGCGUCACUGAUGGAUGGACCCGCGGUGCAUUAGCUAGUUGGUGAGGUAACGGCUCACCAAGGCCACGAUGCAUAGCCGACCUGAGAGGGUGAUCGGCCACACUGGGACUGAGACACGGCCCAGACUCCUACGGGAGGCAGCAGUAGGGAAUCUUCGGCAAUGGACGAAAGUCUGACCGAGCAACGCCGCGUGAGUGAAGAAGGUUUUCGGAUCGUAAAACUCUGUUGUUAGAGAAGAACAAGGAUGAGAGUAAAAUGUUCAUCCCUUGACGGUAUCUAACCAGAAAGCCACGGCUAACUACGUGCCAGCAGCCGCGGUAAUACGUAGGUGGCAAGCGUUGUCCGGAUUUAUUGGGCGUAAAGCGAGCGCAGGCGGUUUCUUAAGUCUGAUGUGAAAGCCCCCGGCUCAACCGGGGAGGGUCAUUGGAAACUGGGAGACUUGAGUGCAGAAGAGGAGAGUGGAAUUCCAUGUGUAGCGGUGAAAUGCGUAGAUAUAUGGAGGAACACCAGUGGCGAAGGCGGCUCUCUGGUCUGUAACUGACGCUGAGGCUCGAAAGCGUGGGGAGCGAACAGGAUUAGAUACCCUGGUAGUCCACGCCGUAAA
This 717-nucleotide ribosomal RNA is filed under the name uncultured bacterium. Its description in RNAcentral is "bacterial SSU rRNA". It matches the Rfam family "Bacterial small subunit ribosomal RNA", at positions 102 to 806 of the family's 1533-position model. The record is from RNAcentral.